AGAAUUUGGAAAGGUAGAGAGAGUGGAAGCUAGUGAGACAAGAAAGAGGAAGGAGAAAGAAGUUCAUCAUUUUCAUAUCUCCAUUUUCGCAACCCUUGAUACAGCUCCACUAAAUCAGCUUGUUUAUUGGUGGAGAUAAACGCAUUUGAAGAUUGAUGAUUGAUGCUGAAAGUGAGUACAAGAGUGAUUACGGGUUUGAUCAUAUUAGAGGUGAAGUGUUGGUCAAAGAGAGAGUUCAAUGGCAGCAAGAGUAUUCUCAUAACCUCCAUUAAAUCCAUGGUGCAGUUUAGUAGCGUUUGACAGAUAGUAGGUUCGGAUUGACGACUUAAAGUGGUGAUGGCUCGGAGACCUCGUCAGAUCUUAUUUCCGCUGUGCAGAUCCAUGAAGACACAUGUUUUGUAAUUAUUAAUAUUAUUUCAUGUUGUAUUUAUAUGGAUCCUCUUGUAUCUUUAGCUUUUGUAUGUACUCAGAUACCGAUUUUUAACGUUUCAUGCAUAAUAUACUAGUCAAUUAUGUGUGGGGUG
Molecule: long non-coding RNA, 524 nt
Organism: Vicia villosa (hairy vetch)
Lineage: Eukaryota; Viridiplantae; Streptophyta; Magnoliopsida; Fabales; Fabaceae
Exons: 3
Source: RefSeq, a predicted model, not a curated record